UAGACUGCAAGAGCAGCUUUGGGAUAAUACCAGAAGGUACAAAGGUCCUGCUAAGAAUUCUUAUACCACUGCAAGUUUUAGACCUAUUUCUUACAGCAAUCCUAACAAUAGCAAUUCUGGUAAUAACUUCAGUUUUACAAAUGUUUGCCAACCCAAACCAAAAUUCUAGACCUAGUCAGCUAUACUCUUACCCUCCAAGACCACCUCUUGUUAAUUCUCUUCCUAAGCCAAAUUUUCCUUUGAAUAAAACGAUUACUAGCAAUAUUACCCUUGUUGUAACAGCCAAUUCUUCAGUCAACAAACCUUCCAAUCAACCUAAUUCAACUACUAAAACCAACCCAAGACCUUGUUACAAGUGUGGGGAGAAGUUUGUACCUGGGCACCUAUGUAAACCUAAGACUGCAAUGGCUGUGCAGAUUGAGGAAUUAGAAGGGGAAAAUGAGGAAGAAGGUUUGAAUAUGUUAGAGGAAUCACAGGAGUUGGAAAAUAUGGGAGAACCUAUGCUAUCAAUAUAUGCUGUGGAAGGGAAGCAAGGGAAUGAAACUAUUAAAGUCUUGGGGAAGCAUAGAAGUAGACAGCUGGUGAUUCUUAUUGACACAGGGAG
This 604-nucleotide unclassified non-coding RNA is filed under the name Hevea brasiliensis (rubber tree). Lineage: Eukaryota; Viridiplantae; Streptophyta; Magnoliopsida; Malpighiales; Euphorbiaceae. The record is from RNAcentral.